AUGUGAGCACAGUCAGUGCCAACUAUCUGGAGCCUCCAGCAGCCCUGGCCAUCCGACACCUUUGAAAUAAAAGGCAGUGGAUUCCUUUCAUUUGCAAAGUUGAAUUCUAGGGUAUGUAGUUCAAUGACGGAAUUAGGCUUGAAAUACGUUUGCAGGACACAGGUUCAUACAUGAAUGACCCAGCGUGACUCUGGCAUGUGGCUGAAGUUUCCCCAGGGACACCAGGCAGGAGAGCUGAGACUUGACGUCGGCUGGCCUCAAGAGACCUUGGAGUCGGUGAGGACCACGUACUGCCUGGGGAGGCAGGUCUACCUUUGACCCCAGCCCUAGGGCAUGCUGGGAGAAAGGUGGGUGCCAUCCUUUCUGGGGUCAAGGUCCUGUUCUCGUGGCUGGCUCCUUCCAGCUUUAUCUGGGCUCCCAGUGUUGGUUCACCACCCGAGGCUCUGCUCUGUGUGU
This 456-nucleotide long non-coding RNA is filed under the name Bos indicus x Bos taurus (hybrid cattle). RNAcentral's name for it is "lncRNA (ENSBIXG00000013057.1)". The record is from RNAcentral. Lineage: Eukaryota; Metazoa; Chordata; Mammalia; Artiodactyla; Bovidae.